GUAGCAUAGCAACUUAUUUAUCUAGUCUUCACUGUUUUCAGCCUGUCUCUUUCUCUGUCCCUUAUUACAUCCAGUACCUCAGUGUCUGAUACUCUUCUGUGGAUUUUAACCUGACAACACCCCUGUCAGGUCUUCUUCUGUGGGCCAUAUCCAGAGGAGGCAAUUGAUGAGACCACAGGGUAACCAGGCUGAAGAAUCAUAAUAACAGACAUUAAGAAAACUUGUAAUUGUGGGUUUGAGAUUCCAACAUGAGACAGAAUGACACUUUGGUGUCUCAGUUCUUCAGCUUCUGCUGAUGUAAACUGAGCCCCAGGUCUAGCCAAGAAGUGGAAGACAGCACAGCACAGGAGCCAGAGGACCUGUCCUCAGCAGGGUAUUUCUACAUAUGCUUCUGAACAGUGAUUCUCUGCAAACUGCUGGGCCUCAAAUUCUUGCGUGCCUUCCAGAGAGCUUCCGAAAUUGGGAGAAUUUCUUAAGUCAACUGAAUGCUAAGCCUUUUUGCCAUUAGGAAAUCUAGAGAGAAGAAGGAUGCUCCCUCAGUUUUGGGGGGACUCUGAACCCCCGGCAUCAAAGAACCACCAAAUUCUCCUCACAAGGAACCCAGUGACAAGUGACAUGAAGAAUCAGUGGCAUGCCCAGUGAAGGCCAGAUGCCUUUAGAAAACUUCUGUCCAAUGAGGUCAUGGAGCUUGUUGUGUAGUGUACUGCUGCUUCAAGUCUGUCCUAAAUUAAACAAUGUCCGUCCUUGGCUUGAGAGUUUGUUUUUAGUAGAGAUCACAUCCUCCUUUAGGCUUUCUCUGUACCUGUCAGAAACGGAAAGAGGGAACACUACCCCUUCUGUGUCUGAGCAUUGCUGUGAAAGUAAUGUGAAACAGCAGCAAGUAAUCAUCUACCUUGGGAGCAUAGUUCAGAUUAACUUGGUAAGCAACCUUAAUGUGAGCUUGAAAUUCUGAAAAACCCUUCAAGCUUUCAAAUCUGAAAGAAUAAAUUAUCUACUAAUGAUUUCUUUCUUUUAUUUUUUUUAAAAUUUCAUUCUAGAUUAACUUUAUGUCUAGAUCUGAGAAAGGGGUUUUCCAUCUCUUUCUUCCUUUGGUCUUGUUGUGCUUUCAUCUCUGCUGCAAUUCUGCUCCCCUUCAGUGUCAGUUCUCACACUCUCUCAUUUGUGCAUAUUGAUGCAUGCCUGUCCUAUGACUGCUGUCACCUGCAUGUGCCUGGUACAGGCCCCCCAUGACAUCCCUCCCCUUUUCUCUUGCUGCCUCUCUCUCUCUCUCUCUCAGACCACAGGGGCCACACCAUCACCACUUUCUCAGUGUGGCAUUUCCUUCUGUGCCUUGCUCUCGCGUGUUGUUUAUCUCUCAGAAGGAUUGCAGCUAUAGAUAGCAUCAGUGGAACUGUAUCUGUCUAGGAGCAGAUGUCUACCUCUGCCAUAUCAUCUUAAUUGCCCUGCUGUGGCUCACCUACCAGAAGCCUUUUUUUUUUUUUUUCUGUGUUACUUUUUUUCCCCCUCCAAUUUUGCAAAUGAUUAGUUCAAAACCAGCAGGACUCAGCUUAUAGUCAUAGGGAUUAGCUGGGUAUAUUUAAUCUUUUCAGGAGAGAGAAUCUUUUCAGUUGCUAACGUACUGGACAGUAUUUUCUAAGGUCUUUGAGGUUUUGUCUCAUAUUUUUAUUUUAUAGUGAAUUAGGUAAAUAUUACUGAAAGAGAAACUAGAGAAACAGGAAAUUAUUAUAAAAAUAUCAGUCAAAACCAAAGUGUUAAUGUCUGGACUAAGAGGUUAAGCAAGUAAUGUAAAUAACUAUAUAUGACAGAGACAUACUCUUACCUGUUUCUAUGGUGUUGAUAAUUUAGUUAGAAUUUUCUUUUCUUUUUUUUUUUUUUUGAGAGAGAAAAUUUAAUCACACAGCACUUCAGAAGAUUCUUCUAUGUAAAAAAAUUGAAAGGUAUUCAUUUGGCAGUCUUAAAUACAAGUGAUCCAAAUUAUACCUUUCAGUCAUUCUAGUUUUACAUUGAUCGAGAGUAAAAUAUGGAUUUGUAUUAGUUUGGGACUAAAAUUU
This is a long non-coding RNA of Passer domesticus (house sparrow), 2051 nucleotides long. RefSeq lists it as uncharacterized. The record is from RefSeq and is a predicted model, not a curated record. The transcript has 3 exons. Lineage: Eukaryota; Metazoa; Chordata; Aves; Passeriformes; Passeridae.